GGACACCAUAGCGUCCUGCCGAGGCAGCGGCGCCAGAGACACAAAGCUGUUCACAUAGACGGGAGACUGCAGCUGAACAGUGUGCUGCGGUCAGGAUCCAGUAUUUGUUAAUCAAGGUCCCGCCACAGAAGUGCUGGCCCGUGGCGCUCUGAAUGGAAACGAUGUAUCUGAUAGAGUACGGCGCUGGGACGUAUCCACCCACGAUACGACUCUGCAUCACAUCCUGACCUGAGAAACAAACCAGCACACACGUGAAUUCACUGACAGCAUCUUCAAGCUCUUGAUUUUCCUUUCACAUACGCACACGUGGAGGCCGCUCUGACUCCAAACCUUUGUCUUGGAAGGAGAGAGUGUAACUCAAGCUCACCACGAGGAGCUCCAGGAGAACACAGAGCAGAAGCAGCGGCAGGUUCAUACUGAUGGAGACGCAGACAGACACAGAC
Long non-coding RNA from Carassius auratus (goldfish), 443 nucleotides. RefSeq lists it as uncharacterized. NCBI's taxonomy places the organism in Eukaryota, Metazoa, Chordata, Actinopteri, Cypriniformes, Cyprinidae. The record is from RefSeq and is a predicted model, not a curated record. The transcript has 3 exons.